RNAcentral lists this unclassified non-coding RNA (379 nucleotides) under uncultured bacterium. RNAcentral describes it as "contains 16S-23S intergenic spacer region". The record is from RNAcentral.
UCUCGGCUUAUCACCGGCAGUCCCCUUAGAGUGCCCAACUGAAUGAUGGCAACUAAUGGCAAGGGUUGCGCUCGUUGCGGGACUUAACCCAACACCUCACGGCACGAGCUGACGACAGCCAUGCACCACCUGCACAGAAGUCCCUUGCGGGAGGCGCUCACUUUCGUGAACGUUUCCUCUGCAUGUCAAGCCCAGGUAAGGUUCUUCGCGUUGCCUCGAAUUAAACCACACGCUCCGCUGCUUGUGCGGGCCCCCGCCUAUUCCUUUGAGUUUUAACCUUGCGGCCGUACUCCCCAGGCGGUCAACUUCACGCGUUAGCUACGGUACUGAGGAAUCGCUCCCCCAACACCCAGUUGACAUCGUUUAGGGCGUGGACUAC